RNAcentral lists this transfer RNA (73 nucleotides) under Dendronephthya gigantea. RNAcentral describes it as "tRNA-Ala". It matches the Rfam family "tRNA". From Rfam's summary of the family: Transfer RNA (tRNA) molecules are approximately 80 nucleotides in length. Their secondary structure includes four short double-helical elements and three loops (D, anti-codon, and T loops). Lineage: Eukaryota; Metazoa; Cnidaria; Anthozoa; Malacalcyonacea; Nephtheidae. The record is from RNAcentral.
GGGGGAUUAGCUCAAAUGGUAGAGCGCGCGCUUCGCAUGCGCGAGGUAGCGGGAUCGACACCCGUAUCCUCCA